This 2242-nucleotide ribosomal RNA is filed under the name Staphylococcus aureus. RNAcentral's name for it is "partial 23S ribosomal RNA". It matches the Rfam family "Bacterial large subunit ribosomal RNA", at positions 643 to 2888 of the family's 2925-position model. The record is from RNAcentral. Lineage: Bacteria; Bacillati; Bacillota; Bacilli; Caryophanales; Staphylococcaceae.
AGGUUAAGCAGUAAAUGUGGAGCCGUAGCGAAAGCGAGUCUGAAUAGGGCGUUUAGUAUUUGGUCGUAGACCCGAAACCAGGUGAUCUACCCUUGGUCAGGUUGAAGUUCAGGUAACACUGAAUGGAGGACCGAACCGACUUACGUUGAAAAGUGAGCGGAUGAACUGAGGGUAGCGGAGAAAUUCCAAUCGAACCUGGAGAUAGCUGGUUCUCUCCGAAAUAGCUUUAGGGCUAGCCUCAAGUGAUGAUUAUUGGAGGUAGAGCACUGUUUGGACGAGGGGCCCCUCUCGGGUUACCGAAUUCAGACAAACUCCGAAUGCCAAUUAAUUUAACUUGGGAGUCAGAACAUGGGUGAUAAGGUCCGUGUUCGAAAGGGAAACAGCCCAGACCACCAGCUAAGGUCCCAAAAUAUAUGUUAAGUGGAAAAGGAUGUGGCGUUGCCCAGACAACUAGGAUGUUGGCUUAGAAGCAGCCAUCAUUUAAAGAGUGCGUAAUAGCUCACUAGUCGAGUGACACUGCGCCGAAAAUGUACCGGGGCUAAACAUAUUACCGAAGCUGUGGAUUGUCCUUUGGACAAUGGUAGGAGAGCGUUCUAAGGGCGUUGAAGCAUGAUCGUAAGGACAUGUGGAGCGCUUAGAAGUGAGAAUGCCGGUGUGAGUAGCGAAAGACGGGUGAGAAUCCCGUCCACCGAUUGACUAAGGUUUCCAGAGGAAGGCUCGUCCGCUCUGGGUUAGUCGGGUCCUAAGCUGAGGCCGACAGGCGUAGGCGAUGGAUAACAGGUUGAUAUUCCUGUACCACCUAUAAUCGUUUUAAUCGAUGGGGGGACGCAGUAGGAUAGGCGAAGCGUGCGAUUGGAUUGCACGUCUAAGCAGUAAGGCUGAGUAUUAGGCAAAUCCGGUACUCGUUAAGGCUGAGCUGUGAUGGGGAGAAGACAUUGUGUCUUCGAGUCGUUGAUUUCACACUGCCGAGAAAAGCCUCUAGAUAGAAAAUAGGUGCCCGUACCGCAAACCGACACAGGUAGUCAAGAUGAGAAUUCUAAGGUGAGCGAGCGAACUCUCGUUAAGGAACUCGGCAAAAUGACCCCGUAACUUCGGGAGAAGGGGUGCUCUUUAGGGUUAACGCCCAGAAGAGCCGCAGUGAAUAGGCCCAAGCGACUGUUUAUCAAAAACACAGGUCUCUGCUAAACCGUAAGGUGAUGUAUAGGGGCUGACGCCUGCCCGGUGCUGGAAGGUUAAGAGGAGUGGUUAGCUUCUGCGAAGCUACGAAUCGAAGCCCCAGUAAACGGCGGCCGUAACUAUAACGGUCCUAAGGUAGCGAAAUUCCUUGUCGGGUAAGUUCCGACCCGCACGAAAGGCGUAACGAUUUGGGCACUGUCUCAACGAGAGACUCGGUGAAAUCAUAGUACCUGUGAAGAUGCAGGUUACCCGCGACAGGACGGAAAGACCCCGUGGAGCUUUACUGUAGCCUGAUAUUGAAAUUCGGCACAGCUUGUACAGGAUAGGUAGGAGCCUUUGAAACGUGAGCGCUAGCUUACGUGGAGGCGCUGGUGGGAUACUACCCUAGCUGUGUUGGCUUUCUAACCCGCACCACUUAUCGUGGUGGGAGACAGUGUCAGGCGGGCAGUUUGACUGGGGCGGUCGCCUCCUAAAAGGUAACGGAGGCGCUCAAAGGUUCCCUCAGAAUGGUUGGAAAUCAUUCAUAGAGUGUAAAGGCAUAAGGGAGCUUGACUGCGAGACCUACAAGUCGAGCAGGGUCGAAAGACGGACUUAGUGAUCCGGUGGUUCCGCAUGGAAGGGCCAUCGCUCAACGGAUAAAAGCUACCCCGGGGAUAACAGGCUUAUCUCCCCCAAGAGUUCACAUCGACGGGGAGGUUUGGCACCUCGAUGUCGGCUCAUCGCAUCCUGGGGCUGUAGUCGGUCCCAAGGGUUGGGCUGUUCGCCCAUUAAAGCGGUACGCGAGCUGGGUUCAGAACGUCGUGAGACAGUUCGGUCCCUAUCCGUCGUGGGCGUAGGAAAUUUGAGAGGAGCUGUCCUUAGUACGAGAGGACCGGGAUGGACAUACCUCUGGUGUACCAGUUGUCGUGCCAACGGCAUAGCUGGGUAGCUAUGUGUGGACGGGAUAAGUGCUGAAAGCAUCUAAGCAUGAAGCCCCCCUCAAGAUGAGAUUUCCCAACUUCGGUUAUAAGAUCCCUCAAAGAUGAUGAGGUUAAUAGGUUCGAGGUGGAAGCAUGGUGACAUGUGG